RNAcentral lists this ribosomal RNA (253 nucleotides) under uncultured bacterium. RNAcentral describes it as "partial 16S ribosomal RNA". It matches the Rfam family "Bacterial small subunit ribosomal RNA", at positions 524 to 776 of the family's 1533-position model. The record is from RNAcentral.
UACGAAGGGGGCUAGCGUUGCUCGGAAUCACUGGGCGUAAAGCGCACGUAGGCGGAUCUUUAAGUCAGGGGUGAAAUCCUGGAGCUCAACUCCAGAACUGCCUUUGAUACUGGGGAUCUCGAGUCCGGAAGAGGUGAGUGGAACUCCGAGUGUAGAGGUGAAAUUCGUAGAUAUUCGGAAGAACACCAGUGGCGAAGGCGGCUCACUGGUCCGGUACUGACGCUGAGGAGCGAAAGCGUGGGGAGCGAACAGG